RNAcentral lists this ribosomal RNA (650 nucleotides) under uncultured archaeon. RNAcentral describes it as "bacterial SSU rRNA". It matches the Rfam family "Archaeal small subunit ribosomal RNA", at positions 154 to 808 of the family's 1478-position model. The record is from RNAcentral.
AUAUACGUUUAGAUGCUGGAUGCUUCUAAGCUGAAAGUUCCGGCGCCCAAGGAUGAGUCUGCGGCCUAUCAGGUAGUAGUGGGUGUAACGGACCCACUAGCCAAAGACGGGUACGGGCCUUGAGAGAGGUAGCCCGGAGAUGGACUCUGAGACACGAGUCCAGGCCCUACGGGGCGCAGCAGGCGCGAAAACUUCACAAUGCAGGAAACUGCGAUGAGGGGAUUCCAAGUGCAUGUGCAUUGCAUAUGCUUUUCGUAUACCUAAAAAGUAUUCGGAAUAAGGGCUGGGUAAGACGGGUGCCAGCCGCCGCGGUAAUACCCGCAGCCCUAGUGGUGAUCGUUUUUAUUGAGCCUAAAGCGUCCGUAGCCGGCCUAUUAAAUCCUUGAGUAAAUCGGGCAGCUCAACUGUUCGAAGUUCGAGGAGACUGGUAGGCUUGGGACCGGAAGAGGUCAGAGGUACUUCAGGGGUAGGGGUGAAAUCCUGUAAUCCUUGAAGGACCACCGGUGGCGAAGGCGUCUGACUGGGACGGCUCCGACGGUGAGGGACGAAGCCCUGGGGCGCAAACCGGAUUAGAUACCCGGGUAGUCCAGUGGUGUAAACGCUGCAGACUUGGUGUUAGGGAUCCUACGUGGGUGCCUAGUGCCGGAGAG